RNAcentral lists this long non-coding RNA (1252 nucleotides) under Homo sapiens (human). Its description in RNAcentral is "HSALNT0031334". Lineage: Eukaryota; Metazoa; Chordata; Mammalia; Primates; Hominidae. The record is from RNAcentral.
GAUUCAGCGAGAGAACAAGAGCUGGAGUCCAAAAGAGGCUGCACACAAGAAUUUUGUAUCUUUCCUAAACCAGGAAAAAAGAAGGCAAGAGCCUUCCCUUCUCUGAAUCUAGGAAAGAUUAACUGAGAGUCUUGUAACCACCCAGUGGGUUCACCUUGUUCACUGCCUAGACAGAGCGAAUUUAUCAAGACAGCGGAAUUGCAAUGGUGAAAGAGUAAUUCAUGCACAGCCGUCUGUGUGGAAGACUGGAGUUUUAUUAUUACUCAAAUCAGUCUCCCUGAGCAUUCAGGGAUCAGCGUUUUUAAGGAUUAUUUGGCAGGUAUGGGCUCAGGAAGUAGGGAGUGUUGAUUGGUCGGAUUGAAGAUAAAAUUACAGGGGGUUGAAGUGAGUUCUUGCUGACUUCUGUUCCUGGAUGGGAUCACAGGACUGGUUGAGCCAGAUUAGCAGUCUGAGUGGUGUCAUCUGCUGCAUUGGAAUGCAGGGUCUGCAAAAUAUCUCAAACACUGAUCUUAGGUUUUGCAACAGUGAUCUUAUUCCCAGAAGCAAUUUGGGGAGGUUGAGACUCUUCCAGCCAGAGACUGCAUGGCUCCUAAAUCAUAAUUUCUAAUCUUGUGGCUAAUUAUGUCAGGCCUCUGAGCCCAAGCCAAGCCAUCAUAUCCCCUGAGACCUGCACGUACACAUCCAGAUGGCCGGUUCCUGCCUUAACUGAUGACAUUCCACCACAAAAGAAGUGAAAAUGGCCUGCUCCUGCCUUAACUGAUGACAUUGUCUUGUGAAAUUCCUUCUCCUGGCUCAUCCUGGCUCAAAAGCCCCCCCACUGAGUACCUUGUGACCCCCACUCCAGCCCGCCAGAGAACAACCCCCCUUUUUCCUUUACCUACCCAAAUCCUAUAAAACGGCCCCACCCCAUCUCCCUUCGCUGACUGUCUUUUCGGACUCAGCCCGCCUGCACCCAGGUAAUUAAAAGCAUUAUUGCUCACACAAAGCCUGUUUAGUGGUCUCUUCACACGGACGUGCAUGAAAGUUAGUCCUACAAAGACAGACUGGUCUCCACGCAAGCAAGGGUUUUUUUCCAGAAAGUGCUAUUGUCAAUUUUGUUGGUUCAGAGUUUAAACUAUAAACUAAAUUCCUUCCCAAGACUAGCUCAGCCUACACCCAGGAAUGAACAGACAGCUUAGAGGCUAGAAGCAAUGUGGAAUCAGUGAGGUCUGACCUUUUUCACUGUCAUAAUUUCCUCAGUUAUGAUUUUUGC